This 30-nucleotide small RNA is filed under the name Bombyx mori (domestic silkworm). Its description in RNAcentral is "piRNA piR-bmo-1646846". Lineage: Eukaryota; Metazoa; Arthropoda; Insecta; Lepidoptera; Bombycidae. The record is from RNAcentral.
UCUUCUGUAUCAGAAUGCCCAGGUUGGCGG